UUCCAUCCUGGUCCUUCUUACUAGAAGAGAAAGCUCCUGGUUCAGCCCAUCAAUAAACAGAAUUAGGCGCUGGCCCCGUGGCUGAGUGGUUAAGUUCGCGGGCUCUGCUUUGGUGGCCCAGGCUUUUGCCGGUUUGGAUCCUGGGCGCGGACCUGGAUGUUCCUGUAGGGCCAGUUUCGUCCAAUGUUGGGCAAGACCUUCACCAACAAGCCUGUGGAUUAGUUGAUAUGAAUCCGAAGACCCUGGCUGGGAAAAAGAAAAUUCCUAGCUAGCCCAAUUCCAAAAGGAACCUUACCAAAGUUUCAGCACACUUCCAAAAGGAAACUAAUCCAGUACUCACCAAGGAGGAAGCCUUGAACUAGAAAGGAC
RNAcentral lists this long non-coding RNA (369 nucleotides) under Equus asinus (donkey). Its description in RNAcentral is "lncRNA (ENSEASG00005030410.1)". Lineage: Eukaryota; Metazoa; Chordata; Mammalia; Perissodactyla; Equidae. The record is from RNAcentral.